UGGGGAAUAUUGCACAAUGGGGGAAACCCUGAUGCAGCGACGCCGCGUGGAGGAAGAAGGUCUUCGGAUUGUAAACUCCUGUUGUUGAGGAAGAUAAUGACGGUACUCAACAAGGAAGUGACGGCUAACUACGUGCCAGCAGCCGCGGUAAAACGUAGGUCACAAGCGUUGUCCGGAAUUACUGGGUGUAAAGGGAGCGCAGGCGGGAAGACAAGUUGGAAGUGAAAUCCAUGGGCUCAACCCAUGAACUGCGUUCAAAACUGUUUUUCUUGAGUAGUGCAGAGGUAGGCGGAAUUCCCGGUGUAGCGGUGGAAUGCGUAGAUAUCGGGAGGAACACCAGUGGCGAAGGCGGCCUACUGGGCACCAACUGACGCUGAGGCUCGAAAGUGUGGGUAGCAAACAGGAUUAGAUACCCUGGUAGUCCACACCGUAAACGAUGAUUACUAGGUGUUGGAGGAUUGACCCCUUCAGUGCCGCAGUUAACACAAUAAGUAAUCCACCUGGGGAGUACGACCGCAAGGUUGAAACUCAAAGGAAUUGACGGGGGCCCGCACAAGCAGUGGAGUAUGUGGUUUAAUUCGACGCAACGCGAAGAACCUUACCAAGUCUUGACAUCCCUUGACAGGCAUAGAAAUAUGUUUUCUCUUCGGAGCAAGGAGACAGGUGGUGCAUGGUUGUCGUCAGCUCGUGUCGUGAGAUGUUGGGUUAAGUCCCGCAACGAGCGCAACCCUUAUGGUCAGUUACUACGCAAGAGGACUCUGGCCAGACUGCCGUUGACAAAACGGAGGAAGGUGGGGAUGACGUCAAAUCAUCAUGCCCCUUAUGACCUGGGCUACACACGUACUACAAUGGCCAUUAACAAAGGGAAGCAAGACCGCGAGGUGGAGCAAAUCCCAAAAAAUGGUCUCAGUUCAGAUUGCAGGCUGCAACCCGCCUGCAUGAAGUCGGAAUUGCUAGUAAUCGCGGAUCAGCAUGCCGCGGUGAAUACGUUCCC
Molecule: ribosomal RNA, 994 nt
Filed under: uncultured bacterium
Lineage: Bacteria
Description: bacterial SSU rRNA
Rfam family: Bacterial small subunit ribosomal RNA
Source: RNAcentral